RNAcentral lists this ribosomal RNA (300 nucleotides) under uncultured Streptomyces sp. RNAcentral's name for it is "bacterial SSU rRNA". It matches the Rfam family "Bacterial small subunit ribosomal RNA", at positions 495 to 795 of the family's 1533-position model. Lineage: Bacteria; Bacillati; Actinomycetota; Actinomycetes; Kitasatosporales; Streptomycetaceae. The record is from RNAcentral.
GGCGAAGUGAGGGGCGGGAGCCGCGGGAAUACGUAGGGGGCGGGGUGUAAUCGGAAUUACUGGGCGUAAAGCGUGCGCAGGCGGUGAUGUAAGACAGUGGUGAAAUCCCCGGGCUGAACCUGGGAACUGCAUCUGUGACUGCAUUGCUGGAGUGCGGCAGAGGGGGAUGGAAUUCCGCGUGUAGCAGUGAAAUGCGUAGAUAUGCGGAGGAACACCGAUGGCGAAGGCAAUCCCCUGGACCUGCACUGACGCUCAUGCACGAAAGCGUGGGGAGCAAACAGGAUUAGAUACCCUUGAGUC